CAUGGCUUGUUAGCUCAUUUCUUGUUAGCACUGAAUAAUAUAUCAUUGUCUAGGUAUACCACAGUUUAUCCAUUCACCUAUUGAAGGACAUACCAAAUCUCGAUUCCAAGUUUUGGCAAUUACGUAUAAAGCUGUCACACGUGUUGGUCUUCUUUGUGUGGACCUAAGUCUUCAAUUUGGAAAAUACUAAGGAGGCCAAUUGCUGGGUCAUAUGUUUCUGGGGAGAAGUUGCAUGGUUUCUAAGAAGAAGUUGAAUCUUUUCAUUUAUAUAGGAAGGAGGAGGCCGAGCCCUCUUGCCACCAGAGAAGAUCAAUCAGGAUCCCUCUAAGGAAGGGACAGCCACAUAUCCUAGCCUGCCAAUGACACAGGAUGAAUUUCAAAGGAACAGAUAUGGCAAGUCACCAACAAAUAGAUCCAUAUGUUGUUGUUGUUUUACAGUGAAAAUGGCUUAUUUUUUUAAUU
Callithrix jacchus (white-tufted-ear marmoset) is the source of this 462-nucleotide long non-coding RNA. Lineage: Eukaryota; Metazoa; Chordata; Mammalia; Primates; Cebidae. The record is from Ensembl.